This 84-nucleotide non-coding RNA is filed under the name Pseudomonas sp. URMO17WK12:I11. The record is from RNAcentral. Lineage: Bacteria; Pseudomonadati; Pseudomonadota; Gammaproteobacteria; Pseudomonadales; Pseudomonadaceae.
UACCGAGCGCCGAGAGGCGACGGGAUGAGCGUGCAGAAGUCAGCUGAAGCCGUAGUAAUCGCCGAAACCGGGGCGAUGAAGGGC